This 253-nucleotide ribosomal RNA is filed under the name uncultured bacterium. Its description in RNAcentral is "partial 16S ribosomal RNA". It matches the Rfam family "Bacterial small subunit ribosomal RNA", at positions 524 to 776 of the family's 1533-position model. The record is from RNAcentral.
UACAGAGGGGGCAAGCGUUGCUCGGAAUUACUGGGCGUAAAGUGUGCGCAGGUGGCUUCGCAAGUCGAGUGUGAAAUCCCCGGGCUUAACCUGGGAAUUGCGCUCGAAACUACGGAGCUGGAGUGUGGCAGAGGGAGGUGGAAUUCCACGUGUAGCGGUGAAAUGCGUAGAGAUGUGGAGGAACACCAAUGGCGAAGGCAGCCUCCUGGGCCAACACUGACACUCAUGCACGAAAGCGUGGGGAGCAAACAGG